CCUACGGGUGGCUGCAGUCGAGAAUCAUUCACAAUGGGGGAAACCCUGAUGGUGCGACGCCGCGUGGGGGAAUGAAGGUCUUCGGAUUGUAAACCCCUGUCAUGUGGGAGCAAAUUAAAAAGAUAGUACCACAAGAGGAAGAGACGGCUAACUCUGUGCCAGCAGCCGCGGUAAUACAGAGGUCUCAAGCGUUGUUCGGAAUCACUGGGCGUAAAGCGUUCGUAGGCUGUUUCGUAAGUCGUGUGUGAAAGGCGCGGGCUCAACCCGCGGACGGCAGAUGAUACUGCGAGACUAGAGUAAGGGAGGGGGAACCGGAAUUCUCGGUGUAGCAGUGAAAUGCGUAGAUAUCGAGAGGAACACUCGUGGCGAAGGCGGGUUCCUGGACAUUAACUGACGCUGAGGCACGAAGGCCAGGGGAGCGAAAGGGAUUAGAUACCCUUGUAGUC
This 446-nucleotide ribosomal RNA is filed under the name uncultured bacterium. RNAcentral describes it as "partial 16S ribosomal RNA". It matches the Rfam family "Bacterial small subunit ribosomal RNA", at positions 338 to 795 of the family's 1533-position model. The record is from RNAcentral.